Long non-coding RNA from Homo sapiens (human), 1078 nucleotides. Ensembl annotates it as long intergenic non-protein coding RNA 1409. NCBI's taxonomy places the organism in Eukaryota, Metazoa, Chordata, Mammalia, Primates, Hominidae. The record is from Ensembl.
ACUGGUGGCCGGGCGGGAUGUAACCGGCUGCUGAGCUGGCAGUUCUGUGUCGCUAGGCUUCUGCCCGGCCGCCGCCGCACAUAAGCCACGAGGAGGAGCUUUACGACUUCCCGGUCUUCGGCGCCGGGCGCAGCAAGGGCCAGACUCUGCGCUAGCAGGCGCUGCGCGCCAACCGGCCGGCACCUGUCGCAGAAGGUGCAACCGAUCGCACUGUCGCGCAGAAGCUCCUCAAUGGCCAGCGCCAGCUGCAGCCCCGGCCGCCCACUCGCCUCAUCUGAGCCUGGAGACAGAUCUCAUUAUGUUGCCCAGGGUGAUCCUUGAUCUCCUGGCCUCAAGUGAUCCUCCAACCUUGGUCUCCCAAAGUGCUGGGAUUACAGAUGUGAACUACCACACCCAGUCAACGUGCAGAAGGUUUUCAGUUUGAUGUAGUCUGAUGUAGUCUCAUGUAUUUAUCCUUCUUGUUGUUGCCUGAGCUUUUGGUGUGAUAUCCAAAAAUAUCAUUGCCAAGAUCAAUAUCAAGAAACUUUCCCCCUAUGUUUCUUACAGAAAUUUUAUGGUUUCAGAUUUUUCAUCCAUUUUGAGUAUAUUUGUGUGUAUGAUGUAAGAUAAGGGUCCAGUCUCCCCAGUGUUGGAUAUCCAAUUUUCAUAACACCAUUUAUUGAAGAGAUUAUUCUUUCUCCACUGUGUUUUCUUGAUGUCCUUGUCAAAAAUUAGUUGACUUUUAUAUGCUUGGGUUUAUUUCUGGGCUCUAUUCUGUUUCAUUGCUUUACAUCUCUGUUUUCAUGCCAGUGCCACAGUGUUUUGAUUACUAUAGCUUUGUAAUAUAAUUUGAAAUCAGAAUGUGUAAUACCUAUAACUUUGUUUUUUGCUCUAAAGAUUUAUUUAUUUAUUUAUUUUUGCCAUUUCAGGUCUUUUGUGGUUUCAUAUGAAUUUCAGAAUUGUUUUUCCUAUUUCUGUGAAAAAUGCCAUUGACAUUUUGAUAGGGAUUGUGUUGAAUCUAUAUAUUGCUUUGGAUAGUAUGGAUGUUUUAACACUAUUAAUUGUCCCAAUCCAUGAACAUGAAAUAUCUUUCCAUUCA